GAUUUGUCUUGAAGCUGUGCCCAGUUAUGCACACAACUCUGAAGCAGAUGUAGCAAUAAACUUCUUGGCCAUUCCUAGCUCCUGCUUUUCUGUAAGUGCUUUGGGGAGACACAACCUGUUUCAGCAGAUAUAAGUCUUACCUCAAGCUGAGUGAAGAUUUUCUUCAGAUGUCUAAAACAUCCUUCAGCAAUCUCCAUAUCUUCUUCAUAGGAUCUGCCUCUGAAAAUUGGUUGAGGAGCAUUUGCAAAAUACUGAUGAAAGGGAAAGAAACUGGACACGUCUGUAACAUCUGGUAAUUUUCCACCUUUAACUUUCACUUUGCUGAUAUAUUCUUCCCAACGUGACAUUACCUAUGGCAAACAAAAGUGUCAUACAGAUGUGUUUUUAUAUAAUGAAGUCACUGGAUAUGUGUCAUCUCGUAUACACAGUUAAAAUGGUUAUUUUAUUAAAUCAAUUUUAUUUAAUAAAAUAAUUUUUAACGACAAAA
Gallus gallus (chicken) is the source of this 487-nucleotide long non-coding RNA. RefSeq lists it as uncharacterized. NCBI's taxonomy places the organism in Eukaryota, Metazoa, Chordata, Aves, Galliformes, Phasianidae. The transcript is spliced from 2 exons. The record is from RefSeq and is a predicted model, not a curated record.